RNAcentral lists this ribosomal RNA (432 nucleotides) under Triticum aestivum (bread wheat). Its description in RNAcentral is "partial small subunit ribosomal RNA". The record is from RNAcentral. Lineage: Eukaryota; Viridiplantae; Streptophyta; Magnoliopsida; Poales; Poaceae.
AUGAAUGAUAUAAUUGAUGAAUUGGAGUUCACUUGUCAUAAGAGAGGUCGAGACGAUGAACAACUCUUUGAGUCAAUUCUGGAUGAAGAAAAGUUGUCAAAAUAUCCUUUAGUUGAACCUAACAAUGUUUCCGAACAAGAAGAAAGUGAUUCAAAUGAUCAGGAAGUUUCUACCCAACAAGAUGAAGGUCAUACUUCUAGAAGACGCGUGCGCAUUGCUUCACACAGUGAGAGAUGUACCGGUAGGUCUUCCAAACGACGGAGAAGUACCACCAAUGAGCAAGAGACUUCGAAUAUCCAGAAGGCAUUUAGUGAAGCAAAGUGUUUUUCGAGUAAAAACAUUGAACAAAUGAAGACAUACUACAAAACAGACGAGAUUCAGCAUAACAUAUAUCAAUGGAUUUAUUCGGGAAGGAAAUCGGCUAUUCCUUGA